Molecule: long non-coding RNA, 249 nt
Organism: Zalophus californianus (California sea lion)
Lineage: Eukaryota; Metazoa; Chordata; Mammalia; Carnivora; Otariidae
Exons: 3
Source: RefSeq, a predicted model, not a curated record
UUUAUUCCUGUCUCAUGCCCUAGGAGGUGGGAAACAGCAAUUGCUAGUGUAGAAGAAACCUAGUCUUAAAAAUCAGAUUCUUUCCAUGUGGAUUUCAGUCCUGAGGAUCAGCUGGGGACUCCUUUGACAGACAUUGAACAUGGAAAAAGAGCCUUGAUAUUUACUUGUUCCACAACGAUCUCCAUAAUGCAUAAGAGAGACACAGCGAGAGAGGGAACACAAACAGGCGGAGUGGGAGAGGGAGAAGCA